RNAcentral lists this long non-coding RNA (226 nucleotides) under Fukomys damarensis (Damara mole-rat). RNAcentral describes it as "lncRNA (ENSFDAG00000022486.1)". Lineage: Eukaryota; Metazoa; Chordata; Mammalia; Rodentia; Bathyergidae. The record is from RNAcentral.
CUCGGAACGUCCAGUGAGAUCGGGUCUCCACUGCACAUCCUCCGCGUCAUUUGAUUCUUAGUGUUUAUGCAUUGAUAUUUUCACUGACGUCACGGUCUCCAUCAGACCCUGUGCUCAAAGAGGCGGAGGCCCACAGCUGUGGAGGAUGGUGGGAGCUCCAUGUUUAUUAGGUCUUACCAUGUCUGCUGACACACCAGAUUACUGUUUACCAUUAGCGAGAGAUCAC